RNAcentral lists this ribosomal RNA (207 nucleotides) under uncultured bacterium. RNAcentral describes it as "partial 16S ribosomal RNA". It matches the Rfam family "Bacterial small subunit ribosomal RNA", at positions 1294 to 1500 of the family's 1533-position model. The record is from RNAcentral.
CGGAUUGCAGGCUGCAACUCGCCUGCAUGAAGUCGGAAUUGCUAGUAAUCGCGGAUCAGAAUGUCGCGGUGAAUACGUUCCCGGGUCUUGUACACACCGCCCGUCACACCAUGGGAGUUGGAAAUGCCCGAAGUCAGUGACCCAACCGAAAGGAGGGAGCUGCCGAAGGCAGGUCUGAUAACUGGGGUGAAGUCGUAACAAGGUAUC